CCRUGCAGUCSACGWGAGCCAGCUUGCUGGGUGGAUCAGUGGCGAACGGGUGAUUCACACGUGAGCAACCUGCCCCUGACUCUGGGAUAAGCGCUCCAUCUGGSGUCUAAUACUGGAUACGAACAACGGCCGCAUGGCCAGUUGUUGGAAAGAUUUUUUGGUUGGGGAUKGGAMUARCSGSCKAUCAGCUUKUUKGUKAGGUAAUGGCUCACCAAGGCGUCGACGGGUAGCCGGCCUGAGAGGGUGACCGGCCACACUGGGACUGAGACACGGCCCAGACUCCUACGGGAGGCAGCAGUGGGGAAUAUUGCACAAUGGGCGGAAGCCUGAUGCAGCAACGCCGCGUGAGGGAUGACGGCCUUCGGGUUGUAAACCUCUUUUAGCAGGGAAGAAGCGAAAGUGACGGUACCUGCAGAAAAAGCGCCGGCUAACUACGUGCCAGCAGCCGCGGUAAUACGUAGGGCGCAAGCGUUAUCCGGAAUUAUUGGGCGUAAAGAGCUCGUAGGCGGUUUGUCGCGUCUGCUGUGAAAUCCCGAGGCUCAACCUCGGGCCUGCAGUGGGUACGGGCAGACUAGAGUGCGGUAGGGGAGAUUGGAAUUCCUGGUGUAGCGGUGGAAUGCGCAGAUAUCAGAGGAACACCGAUGGCGAAGGCAGAUCUCUGGGCCGUAACUGACGCUGAGGAGCGAAAGGGUGGGGAGCAAACAGCUUAGAUACCCUGGYAGUCCACCCCGUAAACGUWGGGAACUAGUUGUGGGGUCCAUUCCACGGAUUCCGUGACGCAGCUACGCAUUAAGUUCCCGCCUGGGGGAGUACGCGCAGCUARAACUCAAUGAAUUGACUGGACSCGCACAGCGCGAGCAUGCGA
RNAcentral lists this ribosomal RNA (865 nucleotides) under Microbacterium natoriense. Its description in RNAcentral is "bacterial SSU rRNA". It matches the Rfam family "Bacterial small subunit ribosomal RNA", at positions 53 to 944 of the family's 1533-position model. The record is from RNAcentral. Lineage: Bacteria; Bacillati; Actinomycetota; Actinomycetes; Micrococcales; Microbacteriaceae.